GCCGAACAGCACUUCAAAUAUCACUCUUCAGUUUGUAGUCGAGACUCUGUAGCUGUGCUGCAUUGAAUCCAUGCAAGCAGGUUCUAAAACAUGGGUGUGGAGAUUCCCACAUCAGAUUUAUCCUAUCGUUUGUAAUGAAUUGUUUCCUAUCUAAUGUUAGAGAUGUUAUAUGGUUAAGAAAAUGUAGAAAGAGAGCAUCUGAUAAGGAACAAAUUUGAUGUUUUUUAAGUUUGGGAACUAGAUAACAGACAUGUAGGAAGAGAGGGUCUGUCUUGAUUUCACGUAGGAGAGAGGGAUAAACAACAUUGCACUUAAAGGCUGUAACACAAAUCACACUGGUAGAGGGAUUAACGUGAUUUACUUGGGGAGAACAUCAUGGACUAUUUAAUACUUCAAGAACUAAAUUGGCAGUCAUUUCUUCUUCAAAAAUUUUCCAAGUCCCAUAUUUUCCACUCUUGGUAGUUUUUGCUCAAUUCUUCACACUUUGGCAUGACUUUUACUCAUUAUUUCAAUGCUUUCAUCUGAAUUUACUAAUAAAAAUCACGUAAUGACGACUGUCAUCUAAUAACUAGAAGAAAAAGCAAUACUUCUUAAACAUAGGUCAAACUAACCUUCAAUCUCAGCAAGUUUGUCAUUAAUGUGCUUUGAUGGAGUGCAUUCAGUCUCAUAUUGCCGGUUCAUUUGGGAUGAGGAUGAUUCCCUCUUUGGAGGAUACUCCUGAAAAAUGAAUUUAUCCAUGGAAAAGGAUGUAGCAUUUUAAUCAACUAUAAUUGCCAUUACCAAAAACAAAUGUGAAAUACAUAUCCACCCUUUGUGAUGACUUUUUCUAGCCACUGGUACAACUCCAUGAGAUUGUGGAAGACUGGCCAGAAAUAAACAGGCCAAAAGGCUUUCUCAAAAUAAUUAUCUUCCAACAUCCCAUAUUUUAGAGGGAAAAUAAACUAUAAGCCGUACAAUUUUGUUGGGAUUUAGGAAGGAAAGAGGGGGAAGGAUUAUGAGGUGAAAGGUAGGAGGAAAGGAGUAUCACUCCCUACCUUUUAUCAGUUAGUAUCCUUCAAAUCCACCAAUUUGGAGGAACUGAAAAGAUCAAUUGGGGGAGUAAUUUAGGUUUCAAAAACAUCUCUAAAUCCUUUCCCUACCGGUCUCUGUAUAAUACUCAUCAUAAUAAACACAAUAGUACUCAUAACCUUUCUCUUCCACUCUCCUCCAAAAUAACUUUCCCAAAUCAGGACGGCUUCACUCCAUUUUCGUCCCUCCUUCCCCCUCCAAAGCCCAUCCCUCCCGCCUUCCCUUCUAACUCAAACAAAGCCCAAGAGAAUGUCAGGUUUCUUUUCACAUAAACAAGGACAUUCAUGACAAUAAACACAUGCCGCAUUAGUAUAUAUCCAACAGUACAAGGGACAGUGUCAUGGACCUUAAUAGACUAAUGAUUUUAGGGAGAAUAACUUUGAAAAACAUGAAUUAUUUAACAAACUCAUGACUUUCAUCCUUUUGAGACAAUGACAAGACUAUUGCAGCAAGAAAUAGUGUAAUUAAAAGUAGUUUCAUACAUUGCAGAUAAUGAAAAUAUGUUUCUAUCAACAAUGUAUUCUCGGUAGAAAGGGAAGAUAUAUGCCAUCAAGAAAUUGACCGAGAAUGAAAUGCAUAUACACACCCUAGAUUCAUAAUAUACAAUGUCAACCAUGGAUCUUCAUUACAAAGAAAUGAUAACAUAUGGAACUGUUCAGGCAGAAGGAGUAUUUUGGGAGAUUCCAAAUCAAUCUCUGUAACCUCAGGGGAAGCAACAAAUAUCUCAGAACAAUUGAGUUAUUAUACACAUCUCUAAAUUUCCAGACAUAAAACAUAGGGGAGACAAAUAUAUUUCAACGAAAAAGGGACAUCGAAAACCACCCAUAUGAAAAAGGAGACAGUUAAUCAUAACACCCCCAACCAAAAACAGAAAAAAAAUCCCGGUUCAAAAUAGAAAUCCAAUAUCAAUUUAGACAGUAUUACCACAACAACUAACAGCUAUAUAAACUAUAAAAAACUUAAUCAUGUUUUACAGUAGUUGUACAAAAAAGCCAACAUCAAUAUUUUAACAUUCCGUAAAUCUAUGUAGAUGGGUGGAGAAGAAAAUCACCAAUAUUAAAAGGAGGCCGGUAAUCCCCCAACCAAAACAUAAAAAAGUCCCAGGUUCAAAAUAGAAAUCCUGUAUCAAUUUAGACAGUAUUACCUACCACAACAACUUCGAACAACUAUAUAAACUAUUAAAAAUUUAAUCAUGUUGAACAACACAACAAUCUCAACCAAAUCUUAUUCUACUAAAUGGGAUCGGCUACAUGAAUCGACUUCUGCCAUAAUAUUAUAUCUAAAACCAUGUUUCUAUCCAAAUCAUUGACCUCAAGAUCGUUCUUAAUAAAAGAUCGUUCUUAAUAACUUCUCUUAUAGUUUUUUUAGGUCUUUCUCUAACUCUAACUGUUUGACUCCUCUCCAUCUAAUAUACUUUUCUUACCAUAAAAUUUAUGGGUCUUCUUUCUAUAUGUCCAACCACCUCAGUCUGUUUUUCACUAUCCUUUCUAUUAUAGGUGUUACUCCAACACUCUUGAAUAUUUUCAUUUUUAAUCUUAUUAAGUCUAAUGUUAACACACAUCCAACGCAACAUCCUCAUCUCUGUACACUUUAUUCUCGUGUUAAUUCUUAACCGUCCAACAUUUUGUCCUGUACAAAAUCGAGAAUUUCACCGCAGUCCGAUAAAUUUUCCCUUCAGCUUAAGUGAUACCUUUGUGUCACAUAAAAUCCAUGAAACCCUCCUCUAUUUCAACCACCCCGCUUGAACUCGACCGAUAACAUCUCCUACUAUUUUUCCAUUGUUUUGUAUUACGGGCCCAAGAUAUUUAAACCGCGUGACUUGUGACAUGAUGUGGUUUCUAACUUUUACCUCUGGGUUAAAAACGCUUCUUCUUUUGGUGAACUUACGUUCCAUAUACUCUAUCUUACUUCUACUUAGGUGAAAGUCAUGCGUUUCUAAAAUUCGUCUCAAGUCUCCAACCUCUCCCUUAAAUCCUCCUUCGACUCUCCAAAUAGGACUAUAUCAUCUACAAAAAAACAUGCAUCUCAUCGCCAACUCUUGGACGUGUUCUAAGUACAUCCAAAAUUAAAGUAAAAAGGUAGGAGCAUAAGGUUGAACCUUGAUGCAAAUCUAUUGUAAUGGAAAAAUCGUUAGCACUACAAUCUUGGACGUGUUCGGAGUAUAUCUUGUCUCACCACGCCGUGUCCGCGCACUAGUCAAUACCCCUUCAUACAUAUUUUGAAUAGCUCGAAUAUAUGGAAUCCUAACCCCUUUCUUCUCUAGAGUUUUUCAAAAAAUCUCUAUAUAUACUCUAUCAUACAUCUUCUCUAAGUCAAUAAAAAUUAAGUGCAAGUCUUGUUGAUUAAACUGAUACUGCUCUAUCAUGUUGAGAAUGUAUCAAGUGUGAGUAGUGUGGAUAAAUAGUCCCACAUUGGUUGGUAAUGUGGAAACUUGAGCAUUUAUAAGUGAGAGAACCCACACACCUAUCACCUUAAGGUUUUGGGUGAAUAUGUGGUUUGUCUCUCACAAAGAUAUUGCUCUAGAAAAGAAGUCUCACAAUGUUCAAUGCUCCCUAGUGAAAAACUCCUCCAACAUAUACCUCAAAGAUUCUACAAUAAUACCAAAAAGCCAAACGGUGGAUGGGUGGAGAAGUGUUGAAUGAAAGAAGACAAACGACGCAUGUGGUUAGAAGUGUGUUUCAACUACGACAGUCAAAAUUUAACGUAUUCAUGCAUUCUUCACAUUUGUGGCCGUUGGAUUGAAUAUCUUGUAGUGUUGUUGGAAAACUAUGAUAUCGAAUUUUUAGAUGGAUUGGUUGGACCGGAAUUUUAGAUUGAUUGGUUGGACGUAUGUCUUACCUAAAGAUCUUAUAUCCCUUUUCAAAUGAUUACUUCGUUAGGGGGCGGGGUAGGACAAAGGUGGUCUUACUAUGAUUUACCAUUUUGUGGUGUGGUCAAUUUUCAAGGAUAUUAAGUUUUCUGCAACAAGUACAUAAUACCCUGAACCCUGAAGUGGAUCACCUAUCGAUUAAUGAGCCUAGCCAAUUGACAUCUAAAUAACCAACUGUCUGAAUAUGUCAUUUUUUGUCAUAAAUUAGACCUUUUCUUGGGACAUCUUUAAUGUAUUUCAGUAUCACAACAUCCAAGUGUUCUUGUAAAGAGAACUUAAGAAUUGACUUACUACUCUGACUACAAAUGAAAUGUUUAAGCAAGUUACUGGGAGGUAGUUUAAUUUGCCAACCAAUCUUCUUUAUCUCCUCGAAUAUGAUAAUGUCUCCCUCUUAUUAGGUAGAAAUAUGACAUUUGGAUACAUAAAAGUAUCAAUCAGUUUGACUUUCUAACAAAUUUGUCUCUUCAAGAAUAUCCAUAACAUAUUUCCUUGGUGAAAUUACAAACCAUCUUUGGAUUGAGCUACUGAAAUACCCAAGAAGUAAAGGAGCUUGCUAAAGUUUUUAGUGUGAAAGUGAUGGGACAAAUAUUGUUUCAAGUGGAGUAAGCUAUGUUGAUCACUACUAGUUAUGACAAUAUCAUCUACAUAAAAACAAGGUAAAGUGCAACCUUGAACUGAGUGGCGCUAAAACGCAGAAUGAACUGUUUUGCUUAAAAUCUAGCCAAAUUGUUGCACUACUGUGAUGAAUAUGUCAAACCAAGCUUAAUGAAGCUGUCUCAGAUGAUAUUAAGAUGUGUGAAGUCCAUAGACAAUGGUAUAACACUCCCGAAAAAACAAACCCCCGUGUUUUCUAAAUAUACACUUCCUCUUCAAGGUCACACCAUACAAGAACAACAUUUUUCAUGUCAAGUUGGUACAAAGGCCAGUGUCAGAUAGCUGCAAUUGAGAGUAAGAGUCUAACAGCUCAAAGAUCACUUCACUCCUUUGCUAAAGACACUUCACAAGUGAAAAAAUGUCACUUCAAUCAAGGCCAAAGAUUUAACUAUACUUCUUUGCCAAUAAAUGAGUUUUAAAACGAUCAAUCUUACCUCAAGAACCAACCUUCAUCUCAUAAAGCUAACGACAUCCCACUAAAGACUUUCCAGGGGCAGAAGAACCAGUUACUAAAUACCAUAAUUGAGCACACAUCUUGCCAAUCAUUACUUGUCUCCACUCUAGAUGGGAAAAAGCUUCAACUAAAGAUUUAGAAAUAGAAACAAAAGACAAAAAAAAAAAAUACACAAGCAUAAUACAAAGGAGAGACGUGGUGAUAACUCAACAAUAUAAUGCCGGGAUGUAAUGGGAGUAAGACAUAUAUACCUUUUGAAAUAGCAAUAAGUAGAUUCAGGGUCAGAUCCUUUAAAAAGGCGAAUGAGAGUCUGAAAUGGCAUCAGUUUCAGGAACAUAUGUAGGAACAUCCACAGCAUGCGGUUGACGACAACAUUGUACAUGCAGAGGUUAUGUCGCAUAAGGGUCCACGUGAGGAGGAUUAGAUGGGAUAGACGUAAGAGGUUCAAGUGGUACAAUAGGGGAUGAAACAUGCUGUUAUGGAUCCAUGCUGUUAUGGAUCCAUAUGAGUGAUUGCAAACAGAAGGUCGAGAGGCAUCUCAAAGUAUGGAACAAACUCUGGUGGGUCCGCAAGAAUGAGAGAAAGGGUCAUGAGGCGACUCAAAGUAUGGAACAAAACGACAUCAAAAUGUUUUGUUGAGGUGUAUGGACACAAGACAUUUGGUGAAGAAUGUCAUUAGACACCAUAAAAUAUUGAAAUUAAUAGGACAAAUAUUGACUGACAUUACUAGUGCGUAAAGUGAGAAAGAACAUUUUAAUUUCUUUAUAAAAUUUCUCAAAAAUAGAGAAUACUCAGAAUUAUUUUUCAUAUAUACAAUUUGAGAGAUCAUCAAUGGAAGUAAGAAGAUGGACCCUAAACAGCGGAGAGAACUAAAACAAAAGGGGACAAAGCAUGUUCAUUCACUAGGCUGGGAAGCUAAGCUAACUACGCGUGUGUUACCCUAAUUGUCGUGACCCACAUAUAAAUUUAAAAGAACAGACAACAGCUUUUGAUGUUUGAGGCGACCCAAUGACCUAAUUGACCAUGUACAGUAAAAGGAGAAUUUGUGGUAGAGCAUUACGUUGAUUUGUCAAAGUGAUAAUUCAGAUCCUUUGGCUCGCAUUUGACGCCAACCAUCUGUCCUGAAGCUCGAUCUAGCAAAGUAACAUUGCUAUUAGUUUAAGUAACAACACAAUCAUAAGAUUAAAUUAUCUUCUUUAAAUUUAUAUGUGGGUCACGACAAUUAGGGUAACAUAAAAAGAUUAAAUUAAACAGGUACAUAAAGGACAUACGAAACAAACAAGUGAGGAUUUGGACAGUGUCAAUUCCUUGGGAUUUUGUUUCAAAACCAUUUGUUAAGACUACCAAGUAACCAGAUGUAGCAAAAAAGGAGAAAAAAGCGUUAAUAAUACUAGUAAUGUGGUCAGACGAGUUUGAAUCCACUAGAGAAAAUGUUCAUAGUAAGUUGGGAGGCAUGAGGAAGAGGUAUUGUCAGAUGAGUUCAGAUGGAUCAACCCAAGCCGCAUUUAUAAAACAUUGGGGACGACCCAAGACAUCUAGGAUGGUAGCAAACCCCAAAAUGUGAACACAAGUGUCAUAGUUCUCACGAGGCAAUCCAUAAAAGGAACACAACAUGAAGAAAGUGAUGAAAGGCAAUCCAUAAGAAGAAAGGAGCAUGAAGAACGUGAUGUGUUGCCCAAGUGUCUUUUCUUUUCAGCUACAAAAUUGUGGCAAGAGGGGAGGAGAUCAUUGAAAUCAUGAAGUACAAAUAUGAUCAUCUAUCUUCUUUAAAGCAAUGAUGUUCAUUAGACUGUGACAAACUUCAUUGAGACAUUGAAUAUCGACAUUGUAAAGUACCUUCACCUGAUUCUAAAUUAAUUUGCAUGUAAGAUGAGGAUAGAAGAUUAGUUUUGAUGUUAGGAUGAAGUGUUGACUCAAUGACCCUGCACAAUUGAGCAUCAAUCUUCCUCCACUUUGGUCAUUCAACCUUCAAUUCAACCUUUCUAGUGAGAUGAUCCUGAUGCCCUUGACCAAUAACUCAUAAUUGAAUGUCAGAAACCAACAUUCAUAAUCGAAACCAUCCAAUUUUUUGGUAGAGGGUAAAUAGUCCGUGCUGCGCUGAACAGUAACGUGAAUAUUACUCUCUAAAAAAGGGAAUACAUUAGUAGAGAAGGGGCAAACUAGAAGGUCAACCAAGCAAGCACGGUUUAAAGCUUCCUUUUAAUAAACUUCUGAUACAAUGGUGAAUGAGAGAAAACGAGAAUCAUAUGAUGAAAAAUGUGUUUCAACUACACAAUAGGGUUUUUAACUACACAAUAGGGUUUUUAAUGAAGUGCAAAUAAUGACAUGAAUAAUUACAAUAUAUUAUACUCCUAAUUAAAUGAUAGCAAACCUUUAUUUACUCGAUUCUAUUUUAUUUUUAACAUGAAGCAAAUCUCAUGUUGAAGUUUUCCGACCAUGUAAAAAACAAAAAAUAAGUGUGCCAUGAAUGAAAAGGAUUGAAAAGGCCUUACUGUGCCAACUACCCCCUGAACCACUUAACAAGACAACUCCAAUCAAAACAUAUAGAAAAUAACACAAAAUUAUGUAAUAUGAAGUGCACGCACCUCCAUUGAUCUCUUCAUCAGUGGCUCCCACCCACUAUAUACAUGGACUUGGAUUUCUUGAAGUCAAGAGUUCACUCAUUCACUGCAUCAGUCAAGGUUAUCAAUAUCAAGAUCCUACCAAGAAUAGAGAGAUUGUGUCAGAAAUCCCAUUAUAGCUGAGUGAACUCUGCUAAGUAUUUUAAUAUCAUUGAGCAAAACAUUACUCAGAACUUAUACACCCUUCUUAUGUCAAUUAUUUUUAUAUUUUUCACCAAAUUUAAUUCUUAUUGCACAAGGAACAGAUCAGGAACCAUUCCAGUCUGACUGCGUCAUAGACGGCGAUUCGAGGAGUAAGAAGUCUGGCAACGUGACAACAGUGGAACCACAGUGGUCAGACUACAUUAGGGGAAUUUGGUUGUGCGAACCCGACCCUGAAAAUGCCAUUUUUGGAAUCACCUGAAAUAGACCUUAAUCACAAUCUCAAGGGAUAACCAUCUAUCAUGUAACCCCACCAAGUUCGUCUCAAAAGACGAUUUUAUGUGUGAUAUGACUCACUUAGUAUGAGCAAGAACGUUAGAUCGUCCAAUCUUACUAUUUAAUUCACCAUCUUAACAAUAGUGACUAAUAAAUUGGAACCGUUUGAUGUUGAUCGAAUGACUUGCAUUCCACCUUCAGGUAAUCAAAUUUUUAGGCAAUUCAGAAUAUAAAUCAUUCAAUUUUUCUUAAAUGGUUCCAAUUUAUUCACUGCAAUAAAUUCAUAAUAUUGACUAUAGGGCAUCUGUAGUAAUUAUCAAUACUUGCAUUCUUUUCCACUUACCUUUUCAGGUUUCCGCGUGUGCAAUAAAAAACAAUGCAAUGAAGUUGAAAAAAUAAUUUGCAUUAAAAGCAACAAGACAUGUUCGAGAAAAAGCAAUUAGUGUUCAACAAAAUCAUAUAUAUGAGAAAUAUGAAAUGAAAAAACAAGCAUCAAAAAUAGAUUUAUAAAACCGUUAUCAAAAUAUUACAAUUUCUUUUUAUAUUUGUUUUUUCUAAAUUGAAAGAUUAAUUUUGACAUCCUAUAAUAUAAACAUAUAUUAUUGAAUAUCAAAACAUAGUCGAAAUCACAAUUUUUUCAAAAAGUUGUAUUUCAAAAAUGAUUUUUGUGAAAAACUAUUUGAAAUAGCUUUAAAAUUAAGUGAUUUUUUGAAAUUUUGAUAUCCAAAAAAAGUUUCAAAUUUCAAUAAAAUGAUCAAAUAUCUAAAAUAAUAUUUUAAGAAUAACUAUUCAAACUAAAUUUUCAUUUGAAACUUGUAUAAAAAAUUUCUUUGUAAAUUUUUUUUACACAAAAUUAUAUAACAGUAUAAAAAUAAAAAGCCAAAACAAAUAGGCCCUAAAACGGUUUAGUUUCGUGCCAGAUUGUGCAGAUUACUUGCCAUACUCUAAGAGUGACAAAGUGUGAAAAGGCAACAAAUAGAGUAUAACAUUAAUUGAUAUCUAUUUAAAAGCCUAAUAUCAAACUUUGUUGGCAAAUAUUAUUAGGUUUUUGUACCAAAUUCAACAUCAUAAAAUCAGCUUUAUGGCAUUUAAUUAGACCCAAAAUCUAAUAUCAAAGCUUCUGAAAUUGGCUUCUAUAGUCAACUAACUGCCCUGCUUUUAAUAUGCGAACAUAAUUGAUUUGGCUUCUUAAAGUGAUAAUCUUAGUUUAUUAAAAGCCAAACUGCUAACCAUAGAUCACAAUUGCAAUAAUCAACUUUGAUAUCGUGUUAGGUUUUAGGACUAAUUAAAUCCCAAUAAAUUAGGUCAAAAACUUAAUAGAGAUUGCCAACUUAAACUACAUCAUAUAUGUAACAACAAUACCAAUAAAUAUAUGUGAUGGAUUCUCCUUUAAAAAACAAAGGGAUUAUUAAAAGCAUUGCCGUGGUUAAAUUACUCAAGAAUCGUCAUCUCUAUAUGGAUGAAAAUUGAACUGGUAAAGCGGUAAUUAAACAAAAUUCAGAUCUGCAAUUAAACUUAACAGAUAAAAGCAAUUGAAGAUUGAUGUGAAACAGAUAAAAGCAAUCGAAGAUUGAUGUGAAUCAGAUAAAUAGAAGUGAAGAUUGAUGUGUAAUAUGAUAAACCCUAGAUCUGUUAAACCUAUCAAAAAUUCUAAAUUCAAAUUCUAAGAAUAAGAAAUUGAUAGAGACGAAAGAAGUAAAACGGAUUGAACAUACAGAGAAGAGAAGAAUGUUUAGCUUGAUGGAUUGAAGGAAAUUCAGGGAAGCGUGCGAUCGGAGAAGGUGAUUUGGGAUGAAAAAACGUUGAUGUUGAUUGCUCCGGUGAAAGUCUUGUUUAUUGUUGACGUAGAAUCCCCAAUCGUUGUUCAGUGGCUGCAAGCUGCGCAUAAUGAAUUUUGUUGUGCUAAGUUACACUAACCCCUAUAUGUUACACAUUUCUCUCUCCUUUUAUUUUAAAACUCAACUCUCCUAAACCUUGUAAAAGUCAAUAUUUACAUCUUUAAAAAUCAUCUUUAAUAUUUGAAUCAUAUCAAUCAAACAAACUAGCAUCAGAUUAAAUCGACG
This 10146-nucleotide long non-coding RNA is filed under the name Lathyrus oleraceus (garden pea). RNAcentral describes it as "Pisum sativum (pea) long non-coding RNA (PSAT_LNC031116)". The record is from RNAcentral. Lineage: Eukaryota; Viridiplantae; Streptophyta; Magnoliopsida; Fabales; Fabaceae.